AUCCAUUUGACGAGUCCCAAGUGGGACGAAACUCGCGUUCUGGAU
Molecule: non-coding RNA, 45 nt
Filed under: Schistosoma haematobium
Lineage: Eukaryota; Metazoa; Platyhelminthes; Trematoda; Strigeidida; Schistosomatidae
Source: RNAcentral